This is a long non-coding RNA of Nicotiana tabacum (common tobacco), 618 nucleotides long. RefSeq lists it as uncharacterized. NCBI's taxonomy places the organism in Eukaryota, Viridiplantae, Streptophyta, Magnoliopsida, Solanales, Solanaceae. The record is from RefSeq and is a predicted model, not a curated record.
UGUUCUUUAUCGUUCUUCUUCAUCUAGAAUUUUCCCUCAGCUCAGUUCCCCAUCUCCAGCGUCUUCGUUGUCUUCUCUGUUGGGUCUCACAAUGUUUAGGAGUACCGGUGAUACAUUUGUCCUAGCAAGCACUUGAACCUUUGCAACCCUUUCAUGGACCAUGACCCUUUCCACUGAAACAAUAAUUAUGCCUCAAUUCCCACACAAGUCUUCUCUUUGAUUGAGAAAUUGCUGCAAUUCAAGGGGCUUCAGGGCUGAAAUGUUAUUUUUGCUUGAUUUCGUGGAGAAGGAGUUGGAGAUGGAGAGAAUCCAAUAUGCGAAAAGCAAUAUGCUUUACAUGUUCGAUGUCACGCCCACGUGCCUCCUGAUUGUAAUGGUUGGGUUUGGGUCUGCUUGUUGGUUGUGCUGCGUGAGCCUCCAGACACCUCCAAGCAAGCAAAGUUUUCGCGGUAAUUACCGCGCUUGAAAAAAACUAAAAAAUGUCUGCUAAAAUGAUUGUACAUACCUAUUUAGUGAAGCUUUAUCCUUUGUUUUUAUUUUAUGAUGUAACUUCUUUUGAUUCACGAGAGCAAAUACAAAGGAGGAAAUAUUUUUUGGUAGUGCAAAGUUCUUGCAAUA